UCCACGCCGUAAACGAUGUCAACUAGCCGUUUGUGUCCUUGAGACGUGAGUGGCGCAGCUAACGCACUAAGUUGACCGCCUGGGGAGUACGGCCGCAAGGUUAAAACUCAAAUGAAUUGACGGGGGCCCGCACAAGCGGUGGAGCAUGUGGUUUAAUUCGAUGCAACGCGAAGAACCUUACCAUCCCUUGACAUCCAGAGAAGCGACUAGAGAUAGACGUGUGCCUUCGGGAA
RNAcentral lists this ribosomal RNA (233 nucleotides) under uncultured bacterium. RNAcentral's name for it is "partial 16S ribosomal RNA". It matches the Rfam family "Bacterial small subunit ribosomal RNA", at positions 794 to 1026 of the family's 1533-position model. The record is from RNAcentral.